This 108-nucleotide ribosomal RNA is filed under the name Parcubacteria group bacterium CG2_30_48_51. RNAcentral also lists the same sequence under 6 other names. The record is from RNAcentral.
UCCGGUGGUUCUUGCGAUGGGGAAAUACCCGAUCCCAUUCCGAACUCGGUCGUCAAGCCCAUCAGCGCCGAUGAUACUCUUUAUGGGGAAAGUAGGUCGCCGCCGGUG